UCUCGGUGGCCCUGCAAUUUAACCCCAAUUCCCCGAAGUGGGGGCCUUUGUGUUUUUUUUGGUUCGGAUGAACCCCGGGGCCCCCCUAAACAUCCAAGUAAAGGGGACGGACGGGAGCUAGUUCCGUUAGGUCAGCGGCGGACGGCUGAUUAACAUUUGGGUAACCUGCUUGUAAGAUUGGGAUAAUUCCGGGAAACCGGGGUUAAUACCGGAUGCUUGAUUGAACCGCAUGGUUCAAUCAUAAAAGGUGGCUUUUAGCUACCACUUACAGAUGGACCCGCGGCGCAUUAGCUAGUUGGUGAGGUAACGGCUCACCAAGGCGACGAUGCGUAGCCGACCUGAGAGGGUGAUCGGCCACACUGGGACUGAGACACGGCCCAGACUCCUACGGGAGGCAGCAGUAGGGAAUCUUCCGCAAUGGACGAAAGUCCGACGGAGCAACGCCGCGUGAGUGAUGAAGGUUUUCGGAUCGUAAAACUCUGUUGUUCGGGAAGAACAAGUACCGUUCGAAUAGGGCGGUACCUUGACGGUACCUAACCAGAAAGCCACGGCUAACUACGUGCCAGCAGCCGCGGUAAUACGUAGGUGGCAAGCGUUGUCCGGAAUUAUUGGGCGUAAAGCGCGCGCAGGCGGUUUGUUAAGUCUGAUGUGAAAGCCCCCGGCUCAACCGGGGAGGGUCAUUGGAAACUGGGGAACUUGAGUGCAGAAGAGGAGAGUGGAAUUCCACGUGUAGCGGUGAAAUGCGUAGAGAUGUGGAGGAACACCAGUGGCGAAGGCGACUCUCUGGUCUGUAACUGACGCUGAGGCGCGAAAGCGUGGGGAGCGAACAGGAUUAGAUACCCUGGUAGUCCACGCCGUAAACGAUGAGUGCCUAAGUGUUACGAGGGUUUCCGCCCUUUAGUGCCUGCAGCAAACGCAUUAAGCAUCCCCCCGGGAGACGG
RNAcentral lists this ribosomal RNA (941 nucleotides) under Bacillus licheniformis. Its description in RNAcentral is "bacterial SSU rRNA". It matches the Rfam family "Bacterial small subunit ribosomal RNA", at positions 9 to 873 of the family's 1533-position model. Lineage: Bacteria; Bacillati; Bacillota; Bacilli; Caryophanales; Bacillaceae. The record is from RNAcentral.